UGAGGAAUAUUGGACAAUGGGCGCAAGCCUGAUCCAGCCAUGCCGCGUGCAGGAAGACGGUCCUAUGGAUUGUAAACUGCUUUUAUACAGGAAGAAACACACCCUCGUGAGGGUACUUGACGGUACUGUAAGAAUAAGGAUCGGCUAACUCCGUGCCAGCAGCCGCGGUAAUACGGAGGAUCCAAGCGUUAUCCGGAAUCAUUGGGUUUAAAGGGUCCGUAGGCGGUUUAAUAAGUCAGUGGUGAAAGCCCAUCGCUCAACGAUGGAACGGCCAUUGAUACUGUUAGACUUGAAUUAUUGGGAAGUAACUAGAAUAUGUAGUGUAGCGGUGAAAUGCUUAGAUAUUACAUGGAAUACCAAUUGCGAAGGCAGGUUACUACCAAUUUAUUGACGCUGAUGGACGAAGGCGUGGGGAGCGAACAGGAUUAGAUACCCUGGUAGUCCACGCCGUAAACGAUGGAUACUAGCUGUUGGGAGCAAUCUCAGUGGCUAAGCGAAAGUGAUAAGUAUCCCACCUGGGGAGUACGUUCGCAAGAAUG
Molecule: ribosomal RNA, 539 nt
Filed under: uncultured bacterium
Lineage: Bacteria
Description: bacterial SSU rRNA
Rfam family: Bacterial small subunit ribosomal RNA
Source: RNAcentral